Molecule: long non-coding RNA, 1270 nt
Filed under: Papio anubis (olive baboon)
Lineage: Eukaryota; Metazoa; Chordata; Mammalia; Primates; Cercopithecidae
Description: lncRNA (ENSPANG00000047545.1)
Source: RNAcentral
AUACCAAGGUCCAGGAAGAACAAGAAAAAAGGCAGGAAUCAUUUGUGGAAAAUGGAGAAGUCAAGAAGACGAGAGACACAUGGAAUGGUUGCCCUUGAUUACUCAGGCCCGGCUCAGAAGGGAGACAAUGAAUUUGUAAUGGCAGAAGGAAAACCUUCCCACUUUGUGUAACUAUUUAUUCCAAGUGAUGAGUCUAUGAAGCAAGGUGUUCUCUUUGUACAAUUAUCUGGACCCACUGGUGCAUGUGAAGGCGGAAUACCUUUGUUGUGGGGAAGAGCUGCUCUGACAGAGGAAUGGCUUUCCUUGAGAAAACGGCUCACUGCUGAAGAAGCCUCUAUUAUGAAGAGGCUUCUUGUUAAAAUAAUUAUUUGCUUCAGUGCAGGUUGAUGACAAAUAAUAAUAUAAGGUACAGAUCAAAGAAUCCAAAUAUUAGAACAUGGGCUACAGAAGAUCCAUCUCCAAGCUUCCCAACUUUCUUUUCCAGAGAUUCGGGAACAAGAUAGAAGACCAUGCCUAUGCCUCGUCCCACUGAUCAUCAAGUUGAAACAGUGGAGCAAUUGAAAAGAAAACUAAAAUGAAAAUUUAAAAAUUUACAAAGUAUCAGUUAUGAAAGUGACCUUUAAGAGAAGAUUGAAAAUUAGGCCAUUUACACUCAGCAUAACCAAAACUAGACAAGACCCCUGCAUGAAUUUCUAGAGUCAUCUCUAUAAAUUAUGAUGUGUAAUGAAUAUCGUCAACAGGACGAUAAUCUAUUUGAUGUUGAUGUUGAGGCUUCUCACUGGAAUGGUCGUCUACUUGCCUGUAUGGUGUAUUAUGGUCCUUCCACCCUUGGAUACUUGGAGUCUUGCUCUACCUCCUGAAUUUAGCCUUGCGUGUCAUUUUGACAGGCGGGAUAUUAGGAAAAGUGAGAAUGGUGGAAACUUUAAAAUCACAAGUGUUUUGGUUUUCCCAUUUCUUGGUACUCUUGGGAUUCCUGUUAACACCGUUAUGUGAAGAGGCCAUGGACAGACUGCUGGCUCCUAAGAGACAGGUGACCUUUUCCCUCUAGUCACAUAAGCUGAAAAUCACCCGCUGAAUUGUGAGCUACGUAUGUGAUUGUUUUAAGUCACAAAGCUUCUGGGUGUUUGUUACAUAGCAACACUUUCUGAUAUAAGACGUGAGUUUAAAACUGUAACAACCUCCUUUUGAAUGGGCAAUUUCCCAUUUAUUUAAUGACCUACCUUCAUGCUACACUCAUCCAAUAUUAAUAGGGCUACCUUCCUUUAUUUUG